GGGGUUAAUAAAAUUGAGAAUGGAAAUGGGGGAGGUGCCAAAAGAGACAACAACCCGACCAUAGAGCAGACAAUAGCAGAAGGUCACCAACAGGUCUUCAAUGCAACGAGAAAUUCCCGCACACGGAGGCGUCCUUCAGCUGGCCCCUCAACAAAUAUAUACUAGUUCAGUGAUAAUGAACGCCAUACUACACAAGAAACUAAAAG
This 206-nucleotide long non-coding RNA is filed under the name Mytilus galloprovincialis (Mediterranean mussel). The record is from RNAcentral. Lineage: Eukaryota; Metazoa; Mollusca; Bivalvia; Mytilida; Mytilidae.